AUGAUUAUAACUAAGGAACGAAAGUAUUGGAGUGAAAUUAAAAAAAAAAAAGAUUACUUGCAUACAACAUAUUCAAAUUAUGCUCACCACUGUUUGGAUGGACUAACAUAUGCCCAACAUAUUAUUCUUGUUUAGACGCAAGAAAAAAUAAAUAAAUUUUAGCGAAUUUAGAUAAUGUUUGGUUCGACGAAAAUGAAGACCGAAAAUAGUAUUUUCAAAAUGUGGCGUAUCGUUUGGUUUGCGAAAGUAAAUUCGUAAGUCACUUUGAAUUAUAAUUAUUAUUUUUU
RNAcentral lists this long non-coding RNA (287 nucleotides) under Ananas comosus (pineapple). RNAcentral describes it as "long non-coding RNA (ACOM_LNC027497)". The record is from RNAcentral. Lineage: Eukaryota; Viridiplantae; Streptophyta; Magnoliopsida; Poales; Bromeliaceae.